GUAUUUCCCUAUGAUGAUACUAAGCUCCCUCUUCUGAAUAGAUUUGUGGAAAACUGCGGCAGAAUCGAACCUAAUCAUUAAUUUGCCACUACUGAGGGA
Impatiens glandulifera is the source of this 99-nucleotide small nucleolar RNA. RefSeq annotates it as small nucleolar RNA R30/Z108. The record is from RefSeq and is a predicted model, not a curated record. NCBI's taxonomy places the organism in Eukaryota, Viridiplantae, Streptophyta, Magnoliopsida, Ericales, Balsaminaceae. The transcript has a single exon.